UUAGAGUUUGAUCAUGGCUCAGAAUGAACGCUGGCGGUAGGCUUAACACAUGCAAGUCGAACGGAAACGAUGAAAAGCUUGCUUUUCAGGCGUCGAGUGGCGGACGGGUGAGUAACGCGUGGGAAUCUACCCUAUAGUUGGGGACAACAUAUGGAAACGUAUGCUAAUGCCGAAUAUGCUCUACGGAGUAAAGGUGCCCUCUCCUUGGAAGGUAUCGCUAUAGGAUGAGCCCGCGUUAGAUUAGCUAGUUGGUGAGGUAAAUGCUCACCAAGGCGACGAUCUAUAGCUGGUUUGAGAGGAUGAUCAGCCACACUGGGACUGAGACACGGCCCAGACUCCUACGGGAGGCAGCAGUGGGGAAUAUUGCACAAUGGACGCAAGUCUGAUGCAGCCAUACCGCGUGUGUGAAGAAGGCCCGAGGGUUGUAAAGCACUUUCAGUAGGGAGGAAGAGUAUAAGGUUAAUACCCUUAUAUUUUGACGUUACCUACAGAAGAAGCACCGGCUAACUCUGUGCCAGCAGCCGCGGUAAUACAGAGGGUGCAAGCGUUAUUCGGAAUUACUGGGCGUAAAGCGCGCGUAGGCGGAUGAUUAAGUCAGUUGUGAAAGCCCUGGGCUCAACCUAGGAACUGCAUCUGAUACUGGUCAUCUAGAGUUUAAGAGAGGGAAGUGGAAUUCCAGGUGUAGCAGUGAAAUGCGUAGAUAUCUGGAGGAACAUCAGUGGCGAAGGCGACUUCCUGGCUUAAAACUGACGCUGAGGUGCGGAAGCGUGGGUAGCGAACGGGAUUAGAUACCCCGGUAGUCCACGCCGUAAACGAUGUCAACUAGUUGUUGGUCUUAUUAAAAAGAUUAGUAACGCAGCUAACGCGAUAAGUUGACCGCCUGGGGAGUACGGUCGCAAGAUUAAAACUCAAAGGAAUUGACGG
RNAcentral lists this ribosomal RNA (924 nucleotides) under uncultured Gammaproteobacteria bacterium. RNAcentral describes it as "bacterial SSU rRNA". It matches the Rfam family "Bacterial small subunit ribosomal RNA", at positions 1 to 916 of the family's 1533-position model. Lineage: Bacteria; Pseudomonadati; Pseudomonadota; Gammaproteobacteria. The record is from RNAcentral.